CUUUAGGUUGCUUACCAAUUCCGCUUUGUGAAAUGGUGUAAACGGAAGGCGACCGCGCAGGCUCGAGUUGUAGAUGGAGCCGGCACAUCGUCUGAAGUAGCUGCUGAGGUUGUUUUGAUGAGGCGAGGGAGGGAUGUGUUUGCUUUCAAGAUAAUAAGGGGUUUCUUCAAAUUGGAGCAGAGAAGUGGGCUAUUGUUGCAAAAAUGCCACAACUUACCUCGCAGCCAUUAGAUGUAGAUCUAAUGGUCAGAAAUGACGGAUGGCAGACACACCAUCAUCACCAACUGAGUCUUUUAUAGGAGUAGAGAUAUGCAGGUUUUACAGGGUAUGGGGGUGGAUGAGCUGCUGUAGAUUUUUGCUCACAAUUCUAAGCUACAAAGUCAUGUAUACUAGUGUGUGGAAAGAUCAAAGGAAAAAACACAUGCAAACCAGAUUCUUGUCUAGUUGGUAGCUAUGUUUUCAUAUUACCUACAAUAUACUUUUCUUUUCUUUUCCUUUUUUGCUACAUAGACAUUGGUUCUUCUGAAUUAUGUGUGAAAUAAGACUCUCUAUGUCCUCUCUCC
Molecule: non-coding RNA, 563 nt
Organism: Aegilops tauschii subsp. strangulata
Lineage: Eukaryota; Viridiplantae; Streptophyta; Magnoliopsida; Poales; Poaceae
Source: RefSeq, a predicted model, not a curated record